Molecule: long non-coding RNA, 2954 nt
Filed under: Volvox carteri
Lineage: Eukaryota; Viridiplantae; Chlorophyta; Chlorophyceae; Chlamydomonadales; Volvocaceae
Description: long non-coding RNA (VCAR_LNC003557)
Source: RNAcentral
GAUCAUAUGCAAGAGGAAACAAUGAAUGAAGUACCGGAAGGCGUCCAAAGUAGACCUAACUGCCCCAAGUGAGUGAGUGAGUCCUAACAGAUCAUGAAGUCACUGACCCAAGGUUCGUUCCGGAAGUGAAGUCCCAUAACAUUACCGACAUAUUUUUGUGUGGUCGUCGUGUCUGGUCUCGUGAUGUUGUCCUCGAGGCCCUUGAUGUCCAGCGCAGUGUAGAUGAGCUGUAGCUACUGAAUGGAUAUCCUAGUAGUCGUAGUCGUAGUCGUCGUAGUAGUAGUACUAGAUCUCGUGAAAAGGGUAAACUGGUCAGUCAGUUCUGGCUAACUUCGUCACUGACUUGGGGGAAGGGGGGAACAAGGAAGUAGGUUUGGUGACAGAGAAGCCGCACAACUUCAGCAGAUUUCUUAUAUUUGCGUGAAGUUAAGGAGUUGGGGUGGAAGGGUUGUCACAAGGUUAGUGAGGAGCCCCUUACAACACCACACCACACCAACACUGGCUAACAUACUUGCGUGACCCAGAUCAACCCCAAGCCGUGCCGAUAUAUCCUUUUGUACGACCUUUGUAAGAGUGUACUGCCUCGCUGUCGUACCAACCAACUGCUAACCAUCAAUGGUCAUCAUCUCUAUUCCACCAACCGUCAUGGUACAGGGCCCUGAUUUGGGUUUUGGGACAGUGGACUUCUUUCUGUCUCCACCUUGACCGUUGCCGUUGAUUAACCGUUGCUGUUAAUUAGCCGUUGCCGUUGACCCACUUGAAACUCCCAUUUGAGACCCCUCUCUCCGGCUUAACCCCCUUACCCCAACCCUUCCCCUGGAGCGCCAGCUCCGCCGGUACUGCUGCUGCUGCUGCUGCUGCUUGCUCCUGGCUUCAAUGUAAUAGCUAGUAUACCUAGCAUGCGUAUCACAAUCAGGCGUGAUUCUCUCUCAAUCUCUACCAGCUCGAUCUACCGGCUCGCCUAGGUUGUUACCUAGCUUCGCCAUGAUAUCAUAUAAUCUACCUGUGUACGCGUAUAGCUUUGCGAAAUUCGCGAAUUACUUAUUUGAUCCAUCUCUCCGCCCCUCUCCUCCAUCACACUGAAGUAAGCAAUCGCUCCGUAGAGCUUGAGUCCGUCUGGGUCCAGGAUCAUGACAAGUCGUUUCCAGAGUUCUGAGCUGUUUUGAAGACCUGGCUUUGGGUUUAUUUUGGGUUCUUCCUUUCACACAUACCCCUAUUGGCCACCUGCCUUCAUUCCGUAGAUCCGGUCGCUUUUGGAGCGCGGGCGAGUGGAAUGUGUGGAGCAGCUGCUGGGUCGGAAGUACCGCCUCGUGUGCGACCUCGCAAGGGCGACCACCGCUAUGAAAUUGGACGACAGCAGCAGGAGCAGUAACAGCAGCGGUAUCGGCGGCAGCGGAGUUGGUCGCGAAAGCUGUGACGGGUCAAAAGGGCGGUUGGUGGUGCCUUGGUCAACUUAUCAGAACCAGCCGCCCGCGAAUGGGCAGUAUUGGGCCCUGGUGCAGCUGGUUCGUGGUGCGGAGGUUCCCGUAGAUGCGUCUAGCGAGAUCGUUGUCGGUGGAUUUGCGGUUGGUGUGGGCGGUGAUGGUGAUGUGAGGGAGGACGGGCAGAUGUCGAGCGGGGCGUGCACGAUGGUACUGCUUAGCGAUAUGGGCAUCGAGGUUGAGCUCGGGGAGAAGGCAAUUAAAUGCAUAGCGGAGUCUGGUGAAGGCAGACUGCUGCUUGUAGAUUUCGAUGCUUGUGGUUGAACGGUGUGCGCGACCUCGACAAAAUUAUCCUUGGCGUUUGGGUGCCUUCAAACUUGACAGGUGCAUUCCUCUAAAAUGAGAUAUGGAAGAAAUGAUGUGAUGAGAAACGGGACAGUGAGUCAGGCUAGGUCGCUUGCGUACGAUGAAAUGUUGGUGUCCAUAGUCGCUUACCACCCGGUGCAUACGACGUUGAGAUAUUAUGUCGCGUGUAUAUAAAAAAGGUGUGACCAACUGACCUCGCUAACUAUUUUGGGCUAACUGCAGUUCCUGUCGGAACGUUGACUGCUUCCAAGACGUUCGUCUGUCCUUUGAACUUUGUCGCAAACUGUAUUUUCCCGACAUCUAUUCCUAAAUUAUAACAUCAUAUUGUUGCGGGUAAAUCUACGGGGCGGUUACUGGUAGUCGUCACCCAGCUCAGGAAGCAGUCUAAGGUAUUUGCGUCUGAAACGGCACAGAAAGCAACAAGUACUGUAUUUUUCAUGCUCUUCUAAGAUGCAAGCGUCAGGGUCGCGUCCCGGCGUUGUAUCUGAAGGCAGCGUGCUUAAGGCAGGCCAGGUUCCCAAGGGCCCUGCUGCCAAGUAGCCCAAGUCCCGAACUCAACAACAUUUCAUGCUUAUAUCAACAUCUUCAAUUCACUUAAUAGCCCCGUCCCGAUCGGCAGAGGAGCAGCGCACGGCAGCUUGUUAAUUCCGCCACAGCAGUAGCAUCGGGACCCGGAGCUGUUCCUUCCGUCACCGCCAGCAUGGCGCACAUGAGCUCGCGUAACUUGGCGCCUGGAGUGAGGGAGGACCCCCGGCUCGUGCGGGAAUCGGUGGAGAGCAGCCGCGCAAGCAUGACCUUGAGUACGUGUGUGCCGGACCGCGGGCACCUGCAUGUACCUCACGUCCUCAGGAUGUAGCCAAAAAAGGGGGAGUACAUCAGUCGCUGGGCAUAAAUGGGCCACAUGGUAACAUAGGUGCCUGCCGGGGGGGCCCACAUGUGGGGCACAUGACGCUCUACUGCGGCAGAGACACUGUUGGAUCUGUCACGAAAUAAACUGUUGUUGUCUUUGUGUCGCGUGGUCGGAGUACGUUGACCAUCCCCGAAUCCAACCCAGCUCUAGCUAACCCAACUCUAGCCACGCAAUGGUUGUUCUUACGGUUUGAGAAGCGUCGGGCGGCAGGUCGGAAGUUAUGCUGGGUGAAGGGCCUCGCGCACAUAAGACACAGA